UCUGGUGCCAGCAGCCGCGGUAAUUCCAGCUCCAAUAGCGUAUAUUAAAGUUGUUGCAGUUAAAAAGCUCGUAGUUGGAUUUCUGUUAAUAAUUUAUAUAAAAUAUUUUGAUGAAUAUUUAUAUAAUAUUAACAUAAUUCAUAUUACUAUAUAUUUUAGUAUAUGAAAUUUUACUUUGAGAAAAUUAGAGUGCUUAAAGCAGGCAUAUGCCUUGAAUACUCCAGCAUGGAAUAAUAUUAAAGAUUUUUAUCUUUCUUAUUGGUUCUAAGAUAAGAAUAAUGAUUAAUAGGGACAGUUGGGGGCAUUUGUAUUUAACAGUCAGAGGUGAAAUUCUUAGAUUUGUUAAAGACAAACUAAUGCGAAAGCAUUUGCCAAGGAUGUUUUCAUUAAUCAAGAACGAAAGUUAGGGGAUCGAAGACGAUCAGAUACCGUCGUAGGNUNGACCNUAAACUAGCCAACUNNGG
Molecule: ribosomal RNA, 464 nt
Filed under: Cryptosporidium parvum
Lineage: Eukaryota; Apicomplexa; Conoidasida; Eucoccidiorida; Cryptosporidiidae
Description: SSU rRNA
Rfam family: Eukaryotic small subunit ribosomal RNA
Source: RNAcentral